UACACUCCUGCGGGAGGCAGCAGUGGGGAAUUUUGGACAAUGGGCGAAAGCCUGAUCCAGCAAUGCCGCGUGAGUGAAGAAGGCCUUCGGGUUGUAAAGCUCUUUUGUCAGGGAAGAAACGGUGAGAGCUAAUAUCUCUUGCUAAUGACGGUACCUGAAGAAUAAGCACCGGCUAACUACGUGCCAGCAGCCGCGGUAAUACGUAGGGUGCAAGCGUUAAUCGGAAUUACUGGGCGUAAAGCGUGCGCAGGCGGUUUUGUAAGUCUGAUGUGAAAUCCCCGGGCUCAACCUGGGAAUUGCAUUGGAGACUGCAAGGCUAGAAUCUGGCAGAGGGGGGUAGAAUUCCACGUGUAGCAGUGAAAUGCGUAGAUAUGUGGAGGAACACCGAUGGCGAAGGCAGCCCCCUGGGUCAAGAUUGACGCUCAUGCACGAAAGCGUGGGGAGCAAACAGGAUUAGAAACCCGAGUAGUCCCAUGAU
This 478-nucleotide ribosomal RNA is filed under the name uncultured organism. Its description in RNAcentral is "partial 16S ribosomal RNA". It matches the Rfam family "Bacterial small subunit ribosomal RNA", at positions 332 to 801 of the family's 1533-position model. The record is from RNAcentral.